CGCUAGCGACAGGCCUAACACAUGCAAGUCGAGGGGCAGCACAAGGAGCAAUCUGAGGUGGCGACCGGCGCACGGGUGAGUAACACGUAUGCAACCUGCCUGUAAGCGGGGAAUAACCCGUUGAAAGACGGACUAAUACCCGCAUAAUACUAAAUUACUGCAAUGGGUAAUUUAUUUAAACAUUUAUGGCUUACAGAUGGGCAUGCGCAUGAUUAGCUAGUUGGAGAGGUAACGGCUCCCCAAGGCAACGAUCAUUAGGGGUUCUGAGAGGAAGGUCCCCCACACUGGUACUGAGACACGGACCAGACUCCUACGGGAGGCAGCAGUGAGGAAUAUUGGUCAAUGGACGAGAGUCUGAACCAGCCAAGUCGCGUGCAGGGAAGAAUGUCCUAAUGGAUUGUAAACUGCUUCUGCAGGGGAAUAAAGUGCAUCACGUGUGAUGUUUUGUAUGUACUCUGCGAAUAAAGGAUCGGCUAACUCCGUGCCAGCCGCUGC
RNAcentral lists this ribosomal RNA (495 nucleotides) under uncultured bacterium. RNAcentral's name for it is "bacterial SSU rRNA". It matches the Rfam family "Bacterial small subunit ribosomal RNA", at positions 34 to 518 of the family's 1533-position model. The record is from RNAcentral.